UACAGAGGAGCCAAGCGUUGUCCGGAUUGACUGGGCGUAAAGCGCACGCAGGCGGUUUUGCGCGUGGGGUGUGAAAUCUGGCCGCUUAACGGCCAGGCGCCAUCCCAUACGGCGCGACUGGAGUGAUGCAGAGGUCGAUGGAAUUGCCGGUGUAGUGGUGAAAUGCGCAGAUAUCAGGAGGAACACCGGUGGCGAAGGCGGGUCUCUGGGCAACUACUGACGCUGAGGAGCGAAAGCGUGGGGAGCGAACAGG
This 253-nucleotide ribosomal RNA is filed under the name uncultured bacterium. Its description in RNAcentral is "partial 16S ribosomal RNA". It matches the Rfam family "Bacterial small subunit ribosomal RNA", at positions 524 to 776 of the family's 1533-position model. The record is from RNAcentral.